GCGGAGCAGGGCGCUCCCUCUCGGCGCGCCGCAGCCGGGGCGGGUUCUGCCGCCCCCUCUUCUGCUCCCUCCCGAGGUCUGGGACCCUCAGCACAAGAAGAAUGCAGAGCUGUUGGAGGGGAUCCAGAGGAGGGCAACAACAUUGAUCAGAGCGUUGGAGCACCUCUGCAAUGAAGAAAGACUGAGGCACUGUCUGCCACUGGCUGAAAGAAGGCAUUGUAAGAUGAAAAGGUUGUGCAGCCAAAACCUCCCCCUGAAGAUGUUUUGAAAAAUGAGGCUGCAUCUGCAAUGUCACCAUUUGUAACAAACAAACAAACAAAAUCAACAAUAAAAAAAAACCCUCUGAGUACCUUAUUAAAAUGUGUUUUU
Molecule: long non-coding RNA, 369 nt
Organism: Coturnix japonica (Japanese quail)
Lineage: Eukaryota; Metazoa; Chordata; Aves; Galliformes; Phasianidae
Source: RefSeq, a predicted model, not a curated record